RNAcentral lists this ribosomal RNA (482 nucleotides) under uncultured bacterium. RNAcentral describes it as "partial 16S ribosomal RNA". It matches the Rfam family "Bacterial small subunit ribosomal RNA", at positions 30 to 507 of the family's 1533-position model. The record is from RNAcentral.
AUUGAACGCUGGCGGCAUGCUUUACACAUGCAAGUCGAACGGUAACAGGCCGCAAGGUGCUGACGAGUGGCGUACGGGUGAGUAAUGCAUCGGAACGGGCACAGUCGCGGGGGAUAACUACUCGCAACAGUAGCUAAUACCGCAUACGAUCUAUGGAUGAAAGCGGGGGACCGUAAGGCCUAGCGCGAUUUGAGCGGCCGAUGUCAGAUUAGGUAGUUGGUGGGGUAAAGGCUCACCAAGCCAACGAUCUGUAGCUGGUCUGAGAGGACGACCAGCCACACUGGGACUGAGACACGGCCCAGACUCCUACGGGAGGCAGCAGUGGGGAAUUUUGGGCAAUGGGCGCAAGCCUGAUCCAGCAAUGCCGCGUGCAGGAAGAAGGCCUUCGGGUUGUAAACUGCUUUUGUACGGAACGAAACGACGCUGGUUAAUACCCGGAGCUAAUGACGGUACCGUAAGAAUAAGCAACGGCUAACUACGUG